Non-coding RNA from Hyaena hyaena (striped hyena), 312 nucleotides. NCBI's taxonomy places the organism in Eukaryota, Metazoa, Chordata, Mammalia, Carnivora, Hyaenidae. The record is from the annotation of a RefSeq genome assembly.
AUGGAGUUUGUGCUUCGCUGGGCUUUCCUUGUUGCCAUUUUAAAAGGUGCCCAGUGUGAGGUGCAGCUGGUGGAGUCUGGGGGAGGCCUGGUGAAGCCUGGAGGGUCCCUGAGACUCUCCUGUGCAGCCUCCGGAUUCACCUUCAGUAGCUCCUACAUGAGCUGGGUCUGCCAGGCUCCAGGGAAGGGGCUGGAGUGGGUUGCAUACAUUUAUAGUGGUGGAAGCAAAUACUACGGAGACUCCGUGAAGGGCUGGUUCACCAUCUCCAGAGGCAACGCCAGGAACAUGCUGUAUCUGCAGAUGAACACCUGA